Molecule: non-coding RNA, 801 nt
Organism: Procambarus clarkii (red swamp crayfish)
Lineage: Eukaryota; Metazoa; Arthropoda; Malacostraca; Decapoda; Cambaridae
Source: RefSeq, a predicted model, not a curated record
CCCCCACUAGAUGUGUACUGUACCAUCCCCUAGAUGUGUAGACGAUGAGUCACAAUAACGGGGCUGAAGAUAUAAUGACCAAAUUACACACCAGGAGACGAGGCGUCGACGUUUCGGUCCAGUACGGACCGAAACGUCGUCGUCUCAUGUUCCGUUGUGGGGCUUCAAUCAUGUCUAUUUAGCUUCAGCUUUACCAGAACUUUAUAAAAUAUUUCAUUCACCUUGUUUAACACGUAGAAUCUAUAAACUUUAUAUAUGCCUGAAAGGGAAGAACAUUUAAUUUUUUACUCUCCUGCAGGAGUAUCACGUUGGCCAAAGUUUCUCUGUGAGUGUUGACUAUGCAAGAGUGUCGCGAAGCACAGGAGAGUCAUUAGAAUCUGGGGAGGAUGCUGAAGAUGGCCAAGAUAAUAAUGAUAUUCAGCUCAGUGCCGUCACAAUCUACGGAGGAAUUCUCAUGCAAUAGUUUACAUCUUUGAGAACAAUGCCGUUGAAGACGUUACGAGUAACCUUAACAUACUGGGCGUUUGGUACAUUUGACAAUGUUUGCUGUAUGGCUACAAGUAAGACGAGACAUACGGAACCUGAGACAGACCAGUUGGUCUAGACUGUGUACCUGGAUGACCUCCAAGUCUACGUGCUGUGCUCCUUCCUGCUGGACCUGGAUCCCACCUUAUAAAAUAAAUAUGUACUUUUAGAACCAGUCUUCAUCUAGUAAUUCUUAGUCCAACAUGAUGACCAUAUUGCAAGUUUAAUGCACAUGUACAAGUCUUAAACAUUAAUAAACUCACGUCUGAAAACGUU